Molecule: ribosomal RNA, 585 nt
Filed under: uncultured bacterium
Lineage: Bacteria
Description: partial 16S ribosomal RNA
Rfam family: Bacterial small subunit ribosomal RNA
Source: RNAcentral
UGGGGAAUUUUGGACAAUGGGCGAAAGCCUGAUCCAGCAAUGCCGCGUGUGUGAAGAAGGCCUUCGGGUUGUAAAGCACUUUUGUCCGGAAAGAAAUCCUUGGCUCUAAUACAGUCGGGGGAUGACGGUACCGGAAGAAUAAGCACCGGCUAACUACGUGCCAGCAGCCGCGGUAAUACGUAGGGUGCAAGCGUUAAUCGGAAUUACUGGGCGUAAAGCGUGCGCAGGCGGUUUGCUAAGACCGAUGUGAAAUCCCCGGGCUCAACCUGGGAACUGUAUUGGUGACUGGCAGGCUAGAGUAUGGCAGAGGGGGGUAGAAUUCCACGUNUAGCAGUGAAAUGCGUAGAGAUGUGGAGGAAUACCGAUGGCGAAGGCAGCCCCCUGGGCCAAUACUGACGCUCAUGCACGAAAGCGUGGGGAGCAAACAGGAUUAGAUACCCUGGUAGUCCACGCCCUAAACUAUGUCAACUAGUUGUUGGGGAUUCAUUUCCUUAGUAACGUAGCUAACGCGUGAAGUUGACCGCCUGGGGAGUACGGUCGCAAGAUUAAAACUCAAAGGAAUUGACGGGGUCAUAGCUGUUUCCU